GCUGCCAUCAACGAAGGAAAAGCCAUUUCCCAGGGUAGCGACUCCUAGCCAUCAGCCUCCUCCUCCAGCCCCUCCUCCCAAAGAAGAUCUAACUUUUAUCCUUGCAACACCAAAUCCCCCCAAACACUACAAAACCAGAGAGAGCUUCCACACUUUUACUCCCUAGGGAAUCCAAGAGCCCCGGGAUUUCCCCGUCUGCCGGUCCGUGAUGACCACCGCCUCUUCGAUCUCCCCGAAGACCUCGAAGUAUUUGCGCAGACUGGAGUCGGUGGUGUGGUACGGGAGCCCCCCGACGAAGAUUUUGGUGUGAUCUGUUGAAGAAAAUAUACCUCUUAGGGCAGAGGUGCCCAACCUUUUCAUGAGGAGGAGUAAUUUUUUUCCCCCUUGAAACCUCAAGAUGAAUGGGAAG
Long non-coding RNA from Dromiciops gliroides (monito del monte), 409 nucleotides. RefSeq lists it as uncharacterized. NCBI's taxonomy places the organism in Eukaryota, Metazoa, Chordata, Mammalia, Microbiotheria, Microbiotheriidae. The transcript has 3 exons. The record is from RefSeq and is a predicted model, not a curated record.